AGUGGAUUGGAAUUUAGCAGAGUCGCCUCCUGAAUUAUUCGGCUGCACGGCGCGAUCAGUUCUGAAAUCGUGCCUAGUUGAUGCAUAGUUCUGUCAGGUUAAGUGUCUGCCUCUUAAUUACUACUACUCACUGUUGCUGUAUUCUAUUAGCACCAACUCUGCUGCCUGUGUAUUAUAUAUAUUAUUUUUGCUCAAGCACAAUAGCACUAGUGCUAUGUUGCUGCCUAUGACAGUCCAUGGACAAACUCUGUUAAUUUAUUCCGAGUGCCCAUAAUUCCCUCUCUAGCAGCACCACCUGUGCUCUUGUCUCACCCAUAACAACAAUUUACUAGUAGUAUGUCUCUUGGCUUGGGUGCUAGCUUAGGUCCCUUCUACUACUACUCCACAUAGUAACUUGUCUGUAUUCUAUUACUUUGUACCUGUGUGUGUGAGCUGUACUAUAUUCAUCUUCCUCAAGUACUACAACACUGGUAGUUGUACGCUAGCGACAGUCCAUCUAGUUUAUUAACUCCAAGUGAAGUGAAGUGAAGUGGGCAUAAUUCUCUAGAUGUGUUACAGAGUGCUAGUAUCUGUUUCCUUGCCUCACCCACACAAUGUAUUAAUAUGUAUGUCUCUUGGCGCGGUGCUAGGUCGGUUCUAUGUCUUCGAGAAGGCCCAUCGCCUCGACCCCACCUCCAGCGGCGCUGGAGUUCUCCUUGUCGGCCGACGACUACAGGCUCAUGGAGGAGGUCUGCUUCGGCGCCAAGAGAAAAUGUGUUGUGGAUCUGUCCAGCUGGUCUGUGUUAAGCUGGGACGAUCCAUCCAGUUAUAGCUUUUUAUAUUUUAUUACAGUGAAAAUGGCAGUACUAGCUUUAGUAGCAUCAAGGUUUAGGUUUCUUCUUUUACUGGAGUUACCAAUGGCUGACAGUUUUUUAUAUACUCAAUCCUGCAAUUUCUUUUAUAGAUUUUCAGCUUGAUCCACUGUUUUGGUUAGUGAUUUGCAUUACCCUUGCCGCUGCUCUGCUCUGUACAUACGUAACCUAGGACUCUUAUCUAUAUUAUUAUCAGGGGCACUCUUUGGUUGCUAUUCUACAAUUAUUAGUUUCACAAAACUGCUUGUAACUCCUCUGGAAGCACUGCAGUAUGCGGUCUCUAGGAUGGUUUUUCCUCACUGCAUAUGCUGCUGUGAUUUAAUUUGACUUGGUAACAAUGGCUGUCAAACAAUCAAACACAAGCAAAUUAAAUGCUUUCUAGUAUUCCAUAUAGUGCUUGCUAUGCAGUGUAUAGUUUUGAAUGGUUCAAUUAUACAGAGCUCUCCAUGCCCAAGAUGAGAAAUUCUCGCUAUCAAUCUGUUUGAUGCUAUCAUUUUCUUACCAUCAUAUUAUAUGUGCCGCUCAAUAUUCAACCUGCUUUAAUCUAUACUAGUAUUCAGUUUGUACCUCAUCUAGCACAUUGCCUAAAAUAGCCACUAUUCUUUCAAUGAAUUUAGUAGAAUUACCUUGUGAUUCCUCUAUUUGCUUCAUAUUAUGGUUGCUCUACUGCUAGUGUCUUACUAGCUUGUUCUGGCUCAUCGUGUUCCUGCUUGUAGUUGAUUUUUCAUGUGCCUAAGUAUAUGUGUAGUACACGUGCAAGCAAACAUUUGAACUCAAACCCAUCCAUCCUUUGUACUGUACUAUAUAGACUGAAGAAGUAAUGUAGAUGAAUAUACAUGCAGUUUUAUUAAGUGAAUGCCAGGCAAACAACUAACUUGCUCUUGUCCAUGUAGAUGGAGUAGGAGGAUGAGCAGCAGCAACAAAUGAGCCUGAUGGUGAAGAAGCACCUGAUGACCAGAACUCCUUCAAGUGCUCUUUAGUCGUUCCAAAACAAGGUCUUGAUGUCCCCCUCACAGAAAAUGUUCAUAUAUGUUCCUGCAUGAUGUGUGUGUGCAUGUUGGAUGGUCACAUUCUAGUGUACUAGCUAGCUAGUAAGCUUGUUUUGCUACCGGAUGAUUGAAUGUCAUCUCAGUUUGUACCUCAUCUAGCUCACCACCUCAAAUUGCCACUGUUUUGUUAGUGUUUCCUUAUUGGUUGGCUAAACAUAUUUGUUUGUUUGAUUUGGAGCAUUAGACGCUCUCCAUCGAUGAUUGCCUAAUUUUAUUCAUCGUCUCCACAAUAUAUUCAUUUGAUUGUCUGCUACAUCUGCACUUAAAUACUCAUAAUGCUUUUGUCCGGCCUUUGUUCAAUUGGACUGACCAUAUCUCUGGUUAAAAUUGUGGUCUUGAUCUUUUCUUUAAACCUGGGACAUCAUGCAUAACUAGCUCUUUCUUUUCAGUCUAAACCUGAGACCUUUUUUUGUUUUCAGUCACACUGCUGUUUUGUUGUGCUUGAUAAACCUGAGACUUCUUUCGAUUGUAAUAUCAAAGUUGUUUGGUUCUGGCCUCAGCAGUAGUGUACUAAUAUUGAAGUUGUUCACUCCUUUACAUGAGCUCCAGGCCUAAUUUUUU
Molecule: long non-coding RNA, 2461 nt
Filed under: Triticum aestivum (bread wheat)
Lineage: Eukaryota; Viridiplantae; Streptophyta; Magnoliopsida; Poales; Poaceae
Description: long non-coding RNA (TAES_LNC011126)
Source: RNAcentral